AUCCAUCUAAAGAGUCCCAAAUAGGACGAAACGCGCAUCAAACUGGAU
RNAcentral lists this non-coding RNA (48 nucleotides) under Schistosoma mansoni. The record is from RNAcentral. Lineage: Eukaryota; Metazoa; Platyhelminthes; Trematoda; Strigeidida; Schistosomatidae.